GACGAACGCUGGCGGCGUGCCUAAUACAUGCAAGUAGAACGCUGAAGAGAGGAGCUUGCUCUUCUUGGAUGAGUUGCGAACGGGUGAGUAACGCGUAGGUAACCUGCCUUGUAGCGGGGGAUAACUAUUGGAAACGAUAGCUAAUACCGCAUAACAAUGGAUGACACAUGUCAUUUAUUUGAAAGGGGCAAUUGCUCCACUACAAGAUGGACCUGCGUUGUAUUAGCUAGUAGGUGAGGUAAUGGCUCACCUAGGCGACGAUACAUAGCCGACCUGAGAGGGUGAUCGGCCACACUGGGACUGAGACACGGCCCAGACUCCUACGGGAGGCAGCAGUAGGGAAUCUUCGGCAAUGGGGGCAACCCUGACCGAGCAACGCCGCGUGAGUGAAGAAGGUUUUCGGAUCGUAAAGCUCUGUUGUAAGUCAAGAACGGGUGUGAGAGUGGAAAGUUCACACUGUGACGGUAGCUUACCAGAAAGGGACGGCUAACUACGUGCCAGCAGCCGCGGUAAUACGUAGGUCCCGAGCGUUGUCCGGAUUUAUUGGGCGUAAAGCGAGCGCAGGCGGUUUGAUAAGUCUGAAGUUAAAGGCUGUGGCCUCAACCAUAGUUCGCUUUGGAAACUGUCAAACUUGAGUGCAGAAGGGGAGAGUGGAAUUCCAUGUGUAGCGGUGAAAUGCGUAGAUAUAUGGAGGAACACCGGUGGCGAAAGCGGCUCUCUGGUCUGUAACUGACGCUGAGGCUCGAAAGCGUGGGGAGCGGACAGGAUUAGAUACCCUGGUAGUCCACGCCGUAAACGAUGAGUGCUAGGUGUUGGAUCCUUUCCGGGAUUCAGUGCCGCAGCUAACGCAUUAAGCACUCCGCCUGGGGAGUACGACCGCAAGGUUGAAACUCAAAGGAAUUGACGGGGGCCAGCACAAGCGGUGGAGCAUGUGGUUUAAUUCGAAGCAACGCGAAGAACCUUACCAGGUCUUGACAUCCCGAUGCUAUUUCUAGAGAUAGAAAGUUACUUCGGUACAUCGGUGACAGGUGGUGCAUGGUUGUCGUCAGCUCGUGUCGUGAGAUGUUGGGUUAAGUCCCGCAACGAGCGCAACCCCUAUUGUUAGUUGCCAUCAUUCAGUUGGGCACUCUAGCGAGACUGCCGGUAAUAAACCGGAGGAAGGUGGGGAUGACGUCAAAUCAUCAUGCCCCUUAUGACCUGGGCUACACACGUGCUACAAUGGUUGGUACAACGAGUUGCGAGUCGGUGACGGCGAGCUAAUCUCUUAAAGCCAAUCUCAGUUCGGAUUGUAGGCUGCAACUCGCCUACAUGAAGUCGGAAUCGCUAGUAAUCGCGGAUCAGCACGCCGCGGUGAAUACGUUCCCGGGCCU
Molecule: ribosomal RNA, 1370 nt
Filed under: uncultured bacterium
Lineage: Bacteria
Description: bacterial SSU rRNA
Rfam family: Bacterial small subunit ribosomal RNA
Source: RNAcentral